RNAcentral lists this long non-coding RNA (10106 nucleotides) under Olea europaea subsp. europaea. Lineage: Eukaryota; Viridiplantae; Streptophyta; Magnoliopsida; Lamiales; Oleaceae. The record is from RNAcentral.
UAAUUUGAAUUUUAAAAAUUAAAAAUCAAAUAUAUAUUACCACAAUUAAUGGGAUUAAAUAUAUUUAAAAUAUUUUUUAGAACAAAAAUACCUGACUUGUUAAUAAAAAGAGUUAAUACAUGAUUUUCUACCAUGGAAACUCGAACGCAUGGUGUCCUCUAAAGGGAAAUGCCAUAUUUUAAGAUUACAUUUUCAGAAAUAUCAAAGUUUGAGACUUUGGAUAACCAAGUUAUAAUUAAAAAUUUUUUGGUAUGGGAAUAAAUAAUAAUUGAUUUAUAUAAGAUAAAAAUAUUCCACAAUUAGUGGUUAUCGUAUGAAAAUUGAUUUUUAUCUCAUCAUAUUCCUCCCCUAAAAAUUUGCUUACAGUUACUAUCUUUCCCAUUUAAUGUCUCUGAGAAAAAGAAAAGAAUAAUGCUAUUUGCUGUCGCUUACUAACCAUCACAUGUAUGCUAUAUAAGGUGACUAUGGUAUUGAGCGAUUGAAAAUAACAUUACUCAAAAGAAAAUGAUAAAUUGUUGCUCCAUGAUUUCGUAAUUUCCUUGCAUAUUUUUCGGCCACAACAACCAUUCUACAUGUCAAUAGGCUACAACCAACAUUCUGUUGCCACCAUAGGUAGGCGUUUGGAAUUUUUAAAGAUAUGUUUGUGCUAUUUAAUAAUUUGUGAAUAUAGUUUUAUAACUAUAAAUGUGUUGUAUGGACGGUAUAAUAUUCAUGUUAAAAGUCAUACGUGACCAACGAUAUAUAAGCAUGUGCAUAAAGUUAAUAUGUGACCAGUGACUUAGUGAUUUUACACAAUGAAAUUAUUGUACUAUUUAUAUUUUUCACAAAACUUUGUCAAAUUGUAACUCAAGUGACCUGUGAAAUUGUGACCUUUGUAUUAAUGUGACGUGCAAAAUUGUGGCUUGAUAAUAUGUGUAAAGUGAAAAUGAAAUAUUUAUGACAUUUGUAUUUUAUGUGUGUUUUUGCGACCUCUCACAAUGCGGUAAAGAAGAAAAAGAAUUAGUGUUUCUAUCUCCAAAUUCAAAUAAUAAUUACCAGUCCAAAAAUUAAAAUCAUGUAUAUAUUACCACAGUUAACAAGACUGGGGACAAAAUAAAAACAUAUACUAUAAUUAUAUAAAAUAUUUUUUGAAAAAAAGACAUCUGAUUUUCUAAUUAAAAAAAUAAUACCUGAUUUUUAUAAUGAAACUUAAAAUCAUGGUUUCCUCUAAUUUUUUCAUUCUAUAAUUUUGAUGUUUUCCCAAAAUUUGCAGUUUCCCUGCAAUGGCUUAUACCUAUAGAUUCAAGUAUUUCUCAAUUCAAGAUAUACUCUUUUAUCCCCCGUUUGGCCCCUUUUAAAACUUUUCAAUUUAAUUUAAACUUUUUCUCUCAUACUUUGAAUCAAACAAUCUUCAAUAAAAUAAUAUUACAUUCAAAUCGAAAACUUUUCAACCACACAAUCUUCAAAAAAAUAUUAUUCCCCCCAUUAUAAAUUCAAAUAAUGGGGGCCAAACAAACUCUUAGUAAUUACGAUUAUUUCUAUUUAACUGAGAUUUUCCCUUCUUUUUGUGGAUUUUUGGCUGGGAUUGUUUAUUAAUUGAUGAAAAGUGAAGGAUUAAGCAUGAGACCAGUGGCUGACCCGUGGUAAUUCAAAUGAAAUCUAGUUUAAGAAUAAAUGUGAUGCAUGUGGAUUUCGAUGAUGAGGUCACUGCCUCACCGGUCUACACACAAGCAAGCUCGAAAAAUCAUAAAUUUAUAUUUUUGCUAAAAUUAUAUCCACAAUCAUAUUACGCAACAAAGAAUUUUAGGUUCGUGUUGUAAAGUUUGUUACAGGUGCUAAAAAUUUUUGUGCAAAUAGGCUGUUUGAUCGUUUAAUGGGGUGAUAAAAAAUUUCCCUGUUGACUCGGAUUUUCCAGCUAGACGAACAUUAGAAGUUAUUUGAAUUUUGAAUUGUUACUAUGGACGUUGGUACUCUAUUCGGAAGUGCUCAUUAGAAGUUAAUGUGACAUUUGUAUCCUUUAAUCUUAUUAUGCUCAUUAAUUCUAAGGCAAAUAUCUAGAGUAACUUGAAUGUUAGUUGAUUUUAAUUAUCCCGAAUGAUCCAUUAUUCAUGAAGUGAAUUGAUGUGACGCAGGAUGCAAUACGAGAAUUAUAGGAGAAGGGGGAAGGGGAGAGAAGAGAAGGGAGGGGAAAAGAGAGAAGAAAAGGGAGAGAGGAAGGUAGAAGUUGGGGGAGAAAUAAGUUUAUUUCAUAUAUCAAAACUUGUCUGAUUACAAAGCAUAAGACCCUUUUAUAUAAGAAUUCGUACCAAAUUGAUGCAGGAUGCAGUAUGAGAAUUAUAGGAGAAGGGAAAAGGGGGGAGGAAGAGAACGGAGGGGGCAAAGAGAGGAAGAUAGAAACUGGGGGAGAAAUCAGUUUAUUUCAUAAAUCAAAGCUUGUCUUAUUACAAAGCAUAAGACCCCUUUAUAUAGGGAUUCAAUGGGGAACAUAUAAUAAAAGCAACUAAAUUAAACCUAAUUAUGUUUCCUAAAAUACUAAUUAAAACUGGAAACUAAACACAAUAAUAUCCCUUAUUAUAUUGCAUCAUGAUGUUUCAUGUCAAGAUGAUUAGGACUGCCUAUAAGUUUCUAGCGGAAAAUAUGACUUGGUGAUCAUCAGCGACGUUCGGAUCCAUUUUCUAGUUAAAUAUGAGGCAGUAUUUCACAAUGAUGCUCUGCAUUCUGUCAUGUUUCUUAGAAGCAAGCCCAGAAGAACACCUGAGCAAAAAGUGCAGCAAGGCAAGCUUUGGCUGUUUUGUAAAGUGUUGAUAUCUCAAAGCAUUAAAAUUUGCACAAAGUUUGAGACCUUUUUCAUCUGAGCCAUUGCUUUCUUAGUUUGUUACUUGGAAUUGGACUAGUUGCUUAAAAUGUAUAUAAUCAUAAUAUAAAAUAAAUUUUUGCUAAUUUUGAAUGAAUCAGUGAUAAAAUCAACUUAUCUUUGCAGCAACUACUGAAAAUUGCUUCAGUUUCUCAAUAAUGCUGAAUUGUCAUUACAUAUUGAUUUUUGCCAUUUCAAAUAUCUAUUCUUCACUUAUGUUAAUUCUUGCAUCACUUUGCAUUUUGUGCUUAAUCCCAAGAGUUCUUUGCAUUUUGGUACAGUGCCUUGAUGACUGUAUUUCAGAUGUUUAAUAGACGUUGCACUUAGGAACUUCUGGUUUUACCUAUAAAAGGUUUUGUUCUUGCCAUGUACUUGUGAAUCCUGUUAUGUGCUAUACUUUGUAUACGUUUUUAUGUAUUUGUUUCUAUUUUCUGCUCUGGAUUCUUUGCCUAUUUAAUACUGCAGGUAGCUCAAGAAAUUGAAUCCGAAGCUAAAUACGAAAUGAUUUUCUCAACCAGCUGGUAUGCCAUUAACUGUACAGAACCUGAAUCUGAAUUGGGCCUCGACUGAUUACUGAUAUUACAUUCACUAAUUGCUGGAAAAGUAGAUGAGGAAUUAGCCGCAGUUGGCAACCUGUUUUCCUUCCGAAUUAUUGACUUAACAGACAGUGCACGUGAAUCACUCUUUUAGGCAGUAUGCUUCACAAGAGAAGAAUUUGGUGUUCGUUUAAUUCAAUUUGUGGGAAAAGGUCUUGCAAAUUACAGGUACCAUGGUGAUGUAGAGGGUUUAUGCCAUGCUUCUAUACAAUCCUUUCCUAUUAAAAAUGUUACUUCUUAUAGCACCAACAAAACCUUCAAAAAUGAAAAUUUAAAAUUUGACAUUGAAGUCAAUUGGAGGAUGGGAGUAAAGGAGUGAUGAGGAAAAUGGAAAAUCAUGUUAAAAUGAGUCUGAAGCCAUAGCUGAGAAUUGUAGUGGAUCUUGUUUUAUAUAUAUUUUGUGAACUCGUACAGUUUGAGGAAUGCAAGAAGGGAACAAAAGUUUCCAGCAUUUAUGGCGGCAUUAUUAGGGGAAGGAAGGGAAUACCCAGUUGGUCGUGCGACCCUUAUUUUGUUUGAUGCAUUAUUUUUUUAAGCUGAUUCUAUGCCCUUCUAUUCAUCCCCUUGAUCACGCUCUGAUCAUAUGGGAACUUAGGAAUUUUUAAGGCUGUUGAUUUUGGUUCGGUAAAAUUCUGUUGAAUACUCAAAAAUUGAAAUGUGCAGUUCGUAUUGCUGUCUUUUUCCAAAAUAAGAGGUUCAUGCCUCUUUUGGCCCUCACCAUCAAAAACCUUUACUUGUUUUAGAAAUUUGGUCCAAUAUUAAUCCUUGAACUGUUCGACUCAUUAUCUUGUUUGAAACGACCUAGCUCUCGUCUAUUGUUCUAUUUCUUUUACAGCAAAUGACAUUGAUCAAAGCUCAAGUAGGGGGGAAAAAUAACAUGAGGAUGCUGAACAAAAGCAUCGUCAAGGAAGGAUCAAGUCGUCAUUAAUGUGGUUCCUUUUGCACUUCUUUGUUUUUUGUUGUCGAAAUUUUCACAAAGAUGAACAAGAAUACUUCUCCAUUGCUUUCUCCCAGGGCUGGUACAUUAAGUUCACUUAAAAAAUAUCUGUCUACGUAUAUAUCAAAUGCAUUUUCUCUCAAAACCUUUCACAUGGCUUAUCCUUUUAAGUUGUUACAAGUCAGAAAAGCAUGCUUGUGGUUAUUCCAACCUUCUUGUAAAAUGUAAAUAGUUAUAUGGAAUGGCUUGUAAAUACUCCGCUGAAGCAAGAAUUAGAAGAUAUUAUUAUUUUUUCCGUAUGUGUUUAAAAAUUUCCUGUGUGAAGAUGGAAAAGUUGGAAAAGAUGGAAACUGAUAAUAUUAGUCUCUCUCUCUCUUUUUUUUUUUCCCCCAAGAAAUUGGAAUCCUGGGAAUUUUGCCCUAGGAUAUCAGAAGUUUAGUAGGUACCCUUUAUAACAAGAAUUGGAAUCUUUGAUGCUAUGUCCAUCGAACUUAAAAAUCCUACGUUAACUAAGAAGCUGCUACAUGGAAGUACUCCAGUAAAGUGUUUCUAGAGUUAUCAUUGUAAAGAUUGGGUUUUGCUGAAAUUUGAGCCCGAAAGAUGGUUGCUGGCCUACUGAUCCUUUUCAUUGUUCGGCCCAAUUGCUCAGUCCAUCUAAAUGAAGGUUUAGACUUGAAGAAUUUUGUUUCUUAACUAUGAUUACUGCAUUCGUAACUUAAAUUGAAUGGAUGGCUGACACAUGAAGUACUUGUGACCGUUGGAUGCAUAGAUGAAAUGAUACAUAUACUAUCUGUAGUCAUUUUGAAGGGGUGUGGAUGAAACCCUAGUUUCUUGACAUUUUUUUUUUUUUUUUUUAACGAGGUCUCCCAGCUUGCGCCAGACUAUAUAUCGUCGUCCCUGAACCUCCGGCCCCUCAGCUGCUCAGGGAGGUAAAUCGCAGAAUGUGCCCUUAGUUUCUUGACAUUCUUUGUUAUGCUUCGUGUGGUUUGUGAGAGAUUCACCAUGUGGGUGAUACUCUUGUAAAUUCUUGAGUAGAAUUUUGAUUGCUGUUAAUCAAUAACUGUUAUCCUCAUUUGUGAGUAGUUUUUAUACCAUUGUGGGAUAGCAGAGUGAGUUGGGAGGGAGAAAUCUUUUGAACAUUUGGUAUUCCUUUGUAAUCGAUAUUCUUGCUUGUUUUUGGGCUGUGUUAGUGGAUUAGAUAGCUAUCGCUAAACCUCCGGGGCCUGUGGCCGAAAAUUCUCGUGUGUUCUUUUGAUUUCUUACGUUUCUUUUAAACAAAGUUGGGUCACAAAUUUGGGACCUACAAUGGUAUGAGAGCUUGAAAACCCUUUGAUUCAUGUUCAAAUUUGGUUUUAAAACUCGAUUUGGUUCUGGUCGACUCUUCUGUUUUAAAGAAAACGUCAGAUUUGAGACAAUUUGUUAAUAUUCCUUAAAGAAAUUUCUUGAUAUGUACUUGAAGUUGCUUUGGGAGUAUUCUUGAGUAUUCUUUCAUGUUCACACUUCUGGUAACAAGUUUCAUAACCCUCUCUGAAAUUUCGAAAUGGGGAACCUAUGAGAAUAUUUUUUUAUUUUUUAACAAAGGAUUCCUGAAAACCUCCCUAAAUUUACCUUUGUCUAGGGAUCCCUGAGAGAACCCUAGAAUUUGAGGGAAUUAGGGUUUUGGUUUAAGGAAAUUCAAAAUUUUCAAUGACUUUUUGAAGUUGAUAUUUUGCUACUUUGUGUGUGUGUGCUAUAAUAUCUUAACUGGUUUUUAAAUUCACAUACCUGUUUUGAAGUGCUACAUGGGCCUUGUUUGAAUCCAUUAAUUUGGAAAAAUGUAUUAUGAAAUAGUGAAUGAUGGAGAAUGUGUGGUUAAAAAAGAAGGAUUUUUUUUUUACUUAUGUUUAAUAUUAUUUUAAUGAAGAAUGUGUGGUUAAAAAUGAGUAAUGUAGAAAAAAUUAUGGGAAAGAAUUUUAAGUAAAGGAUGACAAACGGGAGCAUAUUGUUAACUUUGUAUUGAUACUCUAAUUGUGUUUAUUUUGGGAUUACGCCUCUAUUCAUGUGAAUAACUUGAUAUCAUAUGUUUUGAACUUUUCUUCUUGUUUAUUGAGUGUAAGCAUACCUGUUCUUGAUAUUUUUAUUGUAUAGUCUUUCCUUAUAUUUGGAUUAUACUCUCUAUCUUGCAAUUGAAUUUUUUAAAACCAUUUGUUUAAUAUAUUCUUACUUACAAUUUUGCACAAUUAUCACAUUGUUGCAUUCUAAAGUAGAUGUUCAGAUUUGGGAUGGCAAAGGAGACUUUAGCCUCUGGUGAUGGAAAAUUAAAGCUCUUAUGCAACAGUUAAAAUGUGCUAAAGUCAUUGAUGCAAGUUGGCUAGAAAACCUACCUGUGGAUAGGAAAACUAAACAAGACGAAUUAGGGUAUAGUACUAUGUUUCUCGACCUAUUUGAUUAUGUAAUUAAGAAAGUAGGGGAAACCAAUACUACUGUGGAAUUGUAGACUGCUUUAGAGAAACGGUAACUCACUAAGACUCUACCAAAUAAGUGUUAUCUUUGGAGACAAUUUUUUAGUUUUAAGUUUGAUCCUAGCACUGACUCUGGAGAAAACAUGGACAGAUUUAAUAGGAUCACUUAGGAUCUGAUAAAUUGUGGUGAAAAGAUUUCUGGUGAACAAAAAGUGGUUGGUUUGCUUAAUGCACUAGGAGAGAAAUGUAAAGACAUAAGAAAUGCUUUAGAAUAUGUUAGAAGAGACUUGACUGUUGAUAUAAUUCAUAGCCCUCUUUUAAAUAGAGAAUUGGAAUUAAGAUCUGAACAUAAAGAGGUCUUUCAUGAUGAGAAUACCUCAUCUAAUACAAAAACUCAAGUCAAAGGUAUGAGUAACUUUAGUCGAGCUAAUUAUAAUAGAGAUAAUAAUCUCAUUCAAAGAGGCUAAGAACAAAAAGUGCUACUGCUACGGAAAAACAGGUCAUUUUAUAGAAUGUUUUAAGAAAGCUAAUGAUCAAGAGAAUGGAUCCAAUCUUGAGAAUGGUUCUUUAGCCAUUGCUGCCUUUUAUAAAGAAGCAGGAGCUAAUGCUGGGGUGGUUUAUGUAGCUUCAACUGAAAGGAUUGAUCAGAAUUGUGUUUUAGAUUCAGGUUGCUCCUUUCAUUUGAGCCCCAAUCUCAAUUGGUUCUCUAAUUUCUCAAGACUAGAUGGAGGUUUUGUGAAUCUUGGAAACAUGAGACAUGCCAAGUAAAGGGUAUUGGCAAUUUUGUCAUGGGGUUUGAAAAUGGUCAACACAUGAUGUUAAAACAUACUAGGUAUGUUCCAGCGUCAAGAAGAAAUCUUAUAUUGUUAGGGGUUCUAGAUGAUGAGAACUAUCAUAUUGAAAUCAAUAAUGGUUUUAGAUACAUAAUUAGAUACCAAAAGCUCAUUGUAGAUUCCCCGAACUCUAAUAGAAUCUAUGUUAUCAGUUCUGAACUUGUUUCACCCAAAUGUGUAAACUUUGUAACAUAAUAUGAUAAAUCGCAAUUAUGGCACAAGAGAUUAUGUCAUCUUAGUGAAAAAGGCUUGUUCUUCCAAAUGAAGGGCAGAUGAGACAAAUAAGACCUUCUUCUAGAUUUCAAUAUGCAGAUUAUGUAUGUCUAGUUUGAAUUUGAUCCUUUUGAUUUGGAACCACCUUCUUAUGAAGAAGCUGUAUCCUGUAAGGAAUCCUCUAAGUGGCUUAUAGCAAUGUAAGUGGAGAUGAAUUCCUUAUGUAAGAAUAGAACUUAAAAUUUGGUAGAAAAACCCAAAGGCUGCAAACUGAUUAACUGCAAAUGGGUUUAUAAAAUCAAAUAAUAAAAGAUAUAAGGCAAGACUUGUAGCAAAAGAUUUUACACAGACUAAAGGAAUAGACUAAAUCGAAAUUUUUUCACCUGUUGCGAAAUACACAUCUAUUAGAAUAUUACUUGCCAUUGUAACUCAAUUUGAUUUAAAGUUAGAACAAGUUGAUGUUAAUACUGCUUUUCUACAUGGUUCUCUAGAUGAAUCCAUAUAUAUGACUCAACCAAAAGAUUAUGAAGUGAAGAAAAAGGAGAACUUAGUGUGUCUCUUGAAUAAAUCCCUGUAUGGUCUAAAAUUGGCUACAAGGCAAUGAUAUACGAGAUUUCAUUCUUUUAUAUAGGGAUUGAAGUUCAAAAAAUUUGAAUAUGAUCCAUGUUUUUUAUUUAAAAAAUGAUGGAGAAAUUGGAUUUUUCUAUCGGCUCCCAUAUGUUGAGUACAUGCUACUAGUUGGUCACAAUUCUGUUACUCUCAACUUUAUAAAGGAAAAGUUGAAAUCUGAAUUUGAAAUGAAGGAUUUAGGACUUGCUAGGAACAUGGAAAUAAAAAGGGGCAAAAUUAAUGGAAAACUAUUUCUAACACAAAAAUCUUAUAUUGAAAGAGUGGUUAAACGAUUUUUUGUUUAUGAUGCUAAGCCUAUUAGUUUGCCUUUAUCUGCUUGUGUGAAUUUAUCUAUUGAUCAAUUACCUAAGUUGAAGAUGAAUUUAAAAGAAUGAUGAAUGUUCUAUAUGCUAAUGCUGUUGGAUCUAUCAUAUAUGUGAUGGUGUGCUCUAGAUCUGAUAUAGCUUAUGUUGUAAGUGUGAUGAGCAGAUUCAUGAGUAAUCCAAGUGAUCUUUAUUGGGAAGCUAUGAAAAAUUUAAUCAAAUACUUGAAAGGCACAAAUCAAUCAGGACUUAUGUUAAAAAUUGAUAAAGAUGGUCUUGAGUUGAAAGGGUAUGUUGACUCUGAAUUUUGUUAGAAACGUAGACAAUAGGGAGUCUAUAACUGCAUAUUUCUAUGUGAUAAAUAAUACAUGUAUUAGAUGAAAAUCUCAACUUCAGAAAUUAGUUGCCUUGUCUUCAAGUGAGUCUGAAUAUAUAGUUACAAAUGAAGCAGUAAAAAAUGUUCUAUGGCUAAAAGGCUUAUUAAAUGAUCUAGGUUAUGGAAAGUAAGGUAGAGUUAUGGUUAGAUAAUCAAAGUAUCAUUUUCUUAAGUGAAAAAUCAAAAUUUUCACGAUAAAUUUAAGCAUAUAGAUGUUAAAUUUCAUUUUAUUAGAGACAUACCACUUAGUAAAUUCAUUGAUUCUUUGGGAUUAUUGAAAUUUGAAGUUUGCUAUUUUUAUUUUUAUUUUUUCCUUUCUUUGUGAACAGGUAACGAGUGCAAAUGAAAUUAGUUAUUUAGUUUUUAAAUGCACUUCGCUAUUGUCUCAAAUUACGGCAAGGUGGCGAUUGUAAAGAUUGGAUUUGCUGACAUUUUAGCCCAGAAAAUGGUUGCUGGCCAAUGAUCCUUUAGUCCAUCUAAAUGAAUGGAUGGCUCACGCGUGGAGUACUUAUGACCAUUGGAUGCAUGGUUAGAUGGAAAACGAUACAUACACCAUCUGUAGCCAUUUGAAGGGUGUGGAUGAAACCCUUGUCUCUUGAUAUUCUUUGUCCUGCUUUGUGCUGUCCGUGAGAGAUUUAUCAUCUGUGUGAUAUUCUUGUAAAUUCUUAAGUAGAAUUUUUAAGGGUUGUUAAUCAAUAACAUUUAUCCUCAUUUGUGAGUAGUUUUUUAUUCAUUUCUAGAAUAGCAGAGAGUGAGUUGAGAGGGAGAAAUCUUUUAAACAUUUGGUGUUCUUCUGUGAUCGAUAUUCUUGCCUAUUUUUGGGCUAUGUUAGUGAAUUUGAGCGAAAUUUUAAUGCAUGCUCAACAAGAGAUUGAGCAUUCGAUAGCGGUCAUUGAACUUUUGAAGCCUUUGGUCGAAAAUACUCACGUGUUCUUUUUUUAUUUA